Molecule: ribosomal RNA, 427 nt
Filed under: uncultured bacterium
Lineage: Bacteria
Description: partial 16S ribosomal RNA
Rfam family: Bacterial small subunit ribosomal RNA
Source: RNAcentral
UGGGGAAUAUUGCACAAUGGGCGCAAGCCUGAUGCAGCCAUGCCGCGUGUAUGAAGAAGGCCUUCGGGUUGUAAAGUACUUUCAGCGGGGAGGAAGGCGAUAAGGUUAAUAACCUUGUCGAUUGACGUUACCCGCAGAAGAAGCACCGGCUAACUCCGUGCCAGCAGCCGCGGUAAUACGGAGGGUGCAAGCGUUAAUCGGAAUUACUGGGCGUAAAGCGCACGCUGGCGGUCUGUCAAGUCGGAUGUGAAAUCCCCGGGCUCAACCUGGGAACUGCAUUCGAAACUGGCAGGCUAGAGUCUUGUAGAGGGGGGUAGAAUUCCAGGUGUAGCGGUGAAAUGCGUAGAGAUCUGGAGGAAUACCGGUGGCGAAGGCGGCCCCCUGGACAAAGACUGACGCUCAGGUGCGAAAGCGUGGGGAGCAAACA